Molecule: long non-coding RNA, 660 nt
Organism: Phascolarctos cinereus (koala)
Lineage: Eukaryota; Metazoa; Chordata; Mammalia; Diprotodontia; Phascolarctidae
Source: RefSeq, a predicted model, not a curated record
GUACCCUUAUUCCUUGGUCUGAAGUAGAGCAACUGAUGAUCUAGGAGCAAAUAUUUGUGUGGAAACCUUCAACCUUCAGCAUGAGUUUUUGUAUAGUACAAUUUAAAGAAGAGAACUACUAUUAGCAUCCAACAUCCUCUCCUCUCCCCACUCAUGAGUUUGCAUUAAGAGAUAUGCUAUUCCUUCCUGAGGACUGCUUCAGCUAUGUGUUCCAGAAAUUUUGGGAGUAAUGGCAACACAUGCUGGGCACCUAGCUCCCUGGAGACUUGGAACAAAGACAGAAAACCCUGUCAAUGGAGUUCUGUGGUACAAGGGACCUUUAUGAAUUUAAAACCAGUUUGGAAUAGAAAGCAUCUAAAUGGGAGAGAGAACAGAGGAAAUCAAUAAAACAUGAAAAGGCAGACUGAAACAGAAUCUUUAAGCAGAAUCUUUAAUCCACACAAACAGCUGGGUGUUCCUGACAAUGGCUGGAGAUCAACUAGAGUCAAAAUGCUCAACAGUUUAAUGAACCAAUUCCAUUAGUAAGAAAAUUCAGUUAUAAUAAAGGCCAAACUAACAGAGAAGUUUUCAGCAACCACGACUGUUCUUGUCUCCUGUGGGAAACUGAAGUGGAUCUAGACACCAAGAGUCCACAGGUACUACCAACAUGUCAAUGUCAUA